UCAGGAUAUUGAUUAACUUGUGUAAGGACAAAUAGCUAAUAAGUAACAGAGCUAAGAUGUAAAUCUAGAGACCAUCUGACAAGAAAAAUUCCAUAAACAUUUUGCCACUAUUGCUCCCACAGGAAAAGUGACAUGGCUUAACAUGACAGCUACUGGUCAAAUUUCAUCAUAUUUCUUGCUGUAUUUCCAAACACAGAAUACUUGUUGGAGAAGUACAUGGACAGAUUGAAAUUUUUCAGAAGAAAUUAAGAGCUGCAGUAGGCUGAAGCAAUUAGGACUUCAUGGAUCAAGCAGAA
RNAcentral lists this long non-coding RNA (296 nucleotides) under Pan paniscus (pygmy chimpanzee). RNAcentral's name for it is "lncRNA (ENSPPAG00000045051.1)". The record is from RNAcentral. Lineage: Eukaryota; Metazoa; Chordata; Mammalia; Primates; Hominidae.